This is a small nuclear RNA of Pteronotus mesoamericanus, 112 nucleotides long. Lineage: Eukaryota; Metazoa; Chordata; Mammalia; Chiroptera; Mormoopidae. The record is from RefSeq and is a predicted model, not a curated record.
GUGCUCACUUUGGCAGCACAUAUACUAAAACUGGAACAAUACAUAGACAAUUAACAUGGCACAGCUCCUGUACAAAGAUGAUACGCAAAUUUGUGAAGCAUUCCACAUAUUU